This 73-nucleotide transfer RNA is filed under the name Trichonephila inaurata madagascariensis. It matches the Rfam family "tRNA". Rfam says of the family: Transfer RNA (tRNA) molecules are approximately 80 nucleotides in length. Their secondary structure includes four short double-helical elements and three loops (D, anti-codon, and T loops). Lineage: Eukaryota; Metazoa; Arthropoda; Arachnida; Araneae; Nephilidae. The record is from Rfam by way of RNAcentral.
GUCCCUGUGGCGCAAUAGAAAGCGCGUUGGACUUCUAAUCCAAAGGUCGUGGUUUCGAAUACCACCUGGGAUG